GAUUUCUUAGCUCAGUUGGUAGAGCACAUCCCUUUUAAGGAUGGGGUCCUGGGUUCGAGCCCCAGAGGAAUCA
Molecule: transfer RNA, 73 nt
Filed under: Bacteroidales bacterium
Lineage: Bacteria; Pseudomonadati; Bacteroidota; Bacteroidia; Bacteroidales
Description: tRNA-Lys
Rfam family: tRNA
About the family: Transfer RNA (tRNA) molecules are approximately 80 nucleotides in length.
Source: RNAcentral